GUGAAUCAUCGAAUUUUUGAACGCAUAUUGCACUCUCUGGUAUUCCGGAGAGCAUGCCUGUUUGAGGGUCAGUUAAAUCAUAAUCGGGUCUUUUGCCACCUUUGGUGGUGCCUCUUCGGAAUUGCGCCGUCUUUACCUUCCGGUUAAGUGACUUAAAAUUUUUGAAUGAUAUCUGAUCGUAUUUCACUUUAUUUGGUACGCCUUGUAAUAUCGUAUGUUUAUUAGACGUGCUCAUCCUCAUGACUCGCGUCUAUAAUUUUUCAUCUAAUUACCUCAACUCAGGUAAGCGUACCCUCUGAA
RNAcentral lists this unclassified non-coding RNA (300 nucleotides) under Glomerales sp. Its description in RNAcentral is "partial contains 5.8S ribosomal RNA and internal transcribed spacer 2". The stretch from base 1 to 71 matches the Rfam family "5.8S ribosomal RNA", at positions 84 to 154 of the family's 154-position model. Lineage: Eukaryota; Fungi; Glomeromycota; Glomeromycetes; Glomerales; Glomeraceae. The record is from RNAcentral.